AGACUUUAGAUGAAAACCCUUAAAGGUGUCAAUCUAUUGGAAAAAGGCUUAAGAAACUUGGGAUGACACAAGAUAUCAUGAUAUCCAACUAGAUUUUGUUUAUUUUAUAUCUUUGUGAUGAUAUCAAACCAGGUAAUAUUAUUAGAAAUCUAUUGGAAAAAGGCUUAAAGGUGUCAUCAUAAACAAAAUCUAAUUGUAGUAGAAAUCCGGAUAAAAUCUCCCGUGGGAGCGUGUACAUAUGUUGCCCGAACUGAGUCUUGGAAGGAUAUACCCGAUCGAUCGAGUAUUGAUGAAACCCGGGCUGGUUUUUGUGUGAUACCUAACCAAGUAUUGGCAUAUCCGAUCAGGUUUCUCUCUCUUUGAAGACUUUUCUCGAGCCGGGGGACUCUUUGACCGCACUCUUCUCUAUGGGUAUGAGCUGCCGUCGUUCUUCCUUCCCCAGACCCUGAGCAUAGUUUUCUAUGAGCGGGAUAUACUGGGUAUGAUGAGGAUAAUGAUGAUGAUGAGGGCUCCAAUGAGGAUAAAGGGUUUUUAAUAAACCAACAACACCUGAAACAUGUGGGCAUGACAUAGAAGUCCCUGAUAAAGAGUUAAACUUAACUCUGCGUUUAUCAAACACUUGGUUUGUUGGCCCUUGUGCUU
Long non-coding RNA from Amaranthus tricolor (Joseph's coat), 642 nucleotides. RefSeq lists it as uncharacterized. The transcript has 3 exons. The record is from RefSeq and is a predicted model, not a curated record. NCBI's taxonomy places the organism in Eukaryota, Viridiplantae, Streptophyta, Magnoliopsida, Caryophyllales, Amaranthaceae.